This 960-nucleotide ribosomal RNA is filed under the name uncultured Bacillus sp. RNAcentral describes it as "bacterial SSU rRNA". It matches the Rfam family "Bacterial small subunit ribosomal RNA", at positions 66 to 990 of the family's 1533-position model. The record is from RNAcentral. Lineage: Bacteria; Bacillati; Bacillota; Bacilli; Caryophanales; Bacillaceae.
GCGUUACGUCACGGACUGGCUGAUAGCUUGCUCCCUGCAGAUCAGCGGCGGACGGGUGAGUACACGUGGGUAACCUGCCUGUAAGACUGGGAUAACUCCGGGAAACCGGGGCUAAUACCGGAUAACACCUACCCCCGCAUGGGGGAAGGUUGAAAGGUGGCUUCGGCUAUCACUUACAGAUGGACCCGCGGCGCAUUAGCUAGUUGGUGAGGUAACGGCUCACCAAGGCGACGAUGCGUAGCCGACCUGAGAGGGGAUCAAACUACUCUGGGACUGAGACACGGCCCAAACUCAUACGGGAGGCAGCAGUUAGGGAAUCUUUCCGCAAUGGACGAAAGUCUGACGGAGCAACGCCGCGUGAAGUGAAGAAGGUUUUCGGAUCGUAAAACUCUGUUGGUUAGGGAAGAAACAAGUGCCCGUUCGAAUAGGGUGGCACCUUGAGGGUACCUAACCAGAAAGCCACGGCUAACUACGUGCCAGCAGCCGCGGUAAUACGUAGGUGGCAAGCGUUGUCCGGAAAUUAUUGGGCGUAAAGCGCGCCGCCAGGUGGUUCUUAAGUCUGAUGUGAAAGCCCACGGCCUCAACCGUGGAGGGUCAUUGGAAACUGGGGAACUUGAGUGCAAGAAGAGGAAAGUGGAAUUCCAAGUGUAGCGGUGAAAUGCGUAGAUAUUUGGAGGAACACCAGUGGCGAAGGCGACUUCUCUGGUCUGUAACUGACACUGAGGCGCGAAAGCGUGGGGAGCAAACAGGAUUAGAUACCCUGGUAGUCCACGCCGUAAACGAUGAGUGCUAAGUGUUAGAGGGUUCCGCCCUUUUAGUGCUGCAGCUAACGCAUUAAGCACUCCCGCCUUGGGAGUACGCUCGCAGACUGAAAACUCAAAAGUAAUGACGGGGCCCGCCACAUGCGGUGGAGCAUGUGUUUAAUUCGAGCAACGCGAAGACUUACCAGUCUGACAUCUC